GCGGAUGUAGUUCAAUGGUAGAACUUCAGCCUUCCAAGCUGGCCACGCGAGUUCGAUUCUCGUCAUCCGCU
RNAcentral lists this transfer RNA (71 nucleotides) under Streptococcaceae bacterium. RNAcentral's name for it is "tRNA-Gly". It matches the Rfam family "tRNA". Rfam says of the family: Transfer RNA (tRNA) molecules are approximately 80 nucleotides in length. Their secondary structure includes four short double-helical elements and three loops (D, anti-codon, and T loops). Further hydrogen bonds mediate the characteristic L-shaped molecular structure. tRNAs have two regions of fundamental functional importance: the anti-codon, which is responsible for specific mRNA codon recognition, and the 3' end, to which the tRNAs corresponding amino acid is attached (by aminoacyl-tRNA synthetases). tRNAs cope with the degeneracy of the genetic code in two manners: having more than one tRNA (with a specific anti-codon) for a particular amino acid; and 'wobble' base-pairing, i.e. permitting non-standard base-pairing at the 3rd anti-codon position. The record is from RNAcentral. Lineage: Bacteria; Bacillati; Bacillota; Bacilli; Lactobacillales; Streptococcaceae.